UAGUUGUCGUCUUAUCAAAAAUGUGGAGCAUUCACAGUAUUCAAUUGUAAAUUGUACAGUAAACAUCAAGUGAUUUUUGUCCGCUGUUUCAUGUUUUUGGGGUACUAGUCUUUCUUAAGAUAAACAACACAAAUCGACUUUCUUGCUUAUUGAAAUUGGAGAACUUCCGCAAGUUCUUGUAAAUUCAAUAAUCCAUUACUGAGUCGAUUGUCUUUUGUAUACAUUCAGUACCUGUGAAGAAGAUUAACAAAAUGUGCUAUCCUUGCUAUUUGGGUUGCGGAUCGUGCUGUUCGUCAUGCUGCAGCCCCUGCUGUUCCCCAUGCUACUCGUGUUGCUCACCUUGCUGUAGCCCUUGUGGAAGUUGCUGCGGGAGUUGCUAUGGCUGUGGUUGUGGGCCAUGCUGUUAACAUCUUCGGAAAGAUAUUAAGGUUCUAGUUAGUUAUAUAAGAAAGACUGGACUCCUAC
Molecule: long non-coding RNA, 465 nt
Organism: Drosophila busckii
Lineage: Eukaryota; Metazoa; Arthropoda; Insecta; Diptera; Drosophilidae
Exons: 3
Source: RefSeq, a predicted model, not a curated record